Molecule: ribosomal RNA, 477 nt
Filed under: uncultured bacterium
Lineage: Bacteria
Description: partial 16S ribosomal RNA
Rfam family: Bacterial small subunit ribosomal RNA
Source: RNAcentral
GACGAACGCUGGCGGCGUGCUUAACACAUGCAAGUCGAACGGUAAGGCCCUUCGGGGUACACGAGUGGCGAACGGGUGAGUAACACGUGGGUGAUCUGCCCUGCACUUCGGGAUAAGCCUGGGAAACUGGGUCUAAUACCGGAUAGGACCACUGCCUGCAUGGGUGGUGGUGGAAAGCUUUUGCGGUGUGGGAUGGGCCCGCGGCCUAUCGGCUUGUUGGUGGGGUGAUGGCCUACCAAGGCGACGGCGGGUAGCCGGCCUGAGAGGGGACCGGCCAGAGUGGGUCUGGGAUACGGCCCAGGUUGCGACGGGAGGCAGCGGUGGGGAAUAUUGGCCAAUGGGCGCGAGCCUGAUGCAGCGACGCCGCGUGAGGGAUGACGGCCUUCGGGUUGUAAACCUCUUUCAGCACCGACGAAGCGCAAGUGACGGUAGGUGCAGAAGAAGGACCGGCCAACUACGUGCCAGCCGCCGCCGUAA